UAAGGAAUAUUGCUCAAUGGGAGAAAUCCUGAAGCAGCAACGCCGCGUGGAGGAUGAAGGGCUUUCAGCUUGUAAACUCCUGUAAAGAAGGAAAAAAUUCCCAUUAGAUGGGAAAUGAUGGUACUUCUAAAGUAAGCCCCGGCUAACUACGUGCCAGCAGCCGCGGUAAUACGUAGGGGGCAAGCGUUGUCCGGAUUUACUGGGUGUAAAGGGUGCUCAGGCGGAUUUGUAAGUCAGAGGUGAAAUCUCACAGCUUAACUGUGAAACUGCCUUUGAUACUGCAAGUCUAGAGUAUGGAAGAGCGUGAUGGAAUGUCUGGUGUAGCAGUGAAAUGCGUAGAUAUCAUAUAGAACAGCAAUGGCGAAGGCAGUCACUUGGUCCAUUACUGACGCUAAAGCACGAAAGCGUGUUUAGCAAACA
This 420-nucleotide ribosomal RNA is filed under the name uncultured prokaryote. Its description in RNAcentral is "bacterial SSU rRNA". It matches the Rfam family "Bacterial small subunit ribosomal RNA", at positions 355 to 774 of the family's 1533-position model. The record is from RNAcentral.